This is a long non-coding RNA of Fundulus heteroclitus (mummichog), 359 nucleotides long. RefSeq lists it as uncharacterized. The transcript has 3 exons. NCBI's taxonomy places the organism in Eukaryota, Metazoa, Chordata, Actinopteri, Cyprinodontiformes, Fundulidae. The record is from RefSeq and is a predicted model, not a curated record.
GUAGAAUCAUCUCUGGAAAUCGUGUGGCACGGUGUACCACAACUCUAACUCAUUGAUCAUGGAGCCAAGUGGCAUGACCAAGAGUGUAACGCUGUCUUCAGACCAAGCACGCGACACGCAUCAAAAUGCGCCACAGGACCUCUCAACUUGCUGAGACGCAAGUCCAUCACAGACCUGAAAACCACAUGAAAACCAGACGCUCAAAUCACACUUGGUCUGAAUUUCCCAUAAGAUUGCUCCGCCCACGCAGGGUCAUAUAAUGCAUUCCCAGUUGAGUCUGUGUUAUAAGAAUUAUUAUUCUGAAGUCACUAUGGCCUCACACCACUCGGACAGAGGAGGCCUGGAGACCUGAUGUCUGU